GGCUCAGGACGAACGCUGGCGGCGUGCUUAACACAUGCAAGUCGAGCGGAAAGGCCCUUCGGGGUACUCGAGCGGCGAACGGGUGAGUAACACGUGAGCAACCUGCCCUUGGCUUUGGGAUAACCCUCGGAAACGGGGGCUAAUACCGAAUAUCCAUCUUUCAUCGCAUGGUGGUUGGUGGAAAGUUUUUCGGCUGGGGAUGGGCUCGCGGCCUAUCAGCUUGUUGGUGGGGUGAUGGCCUACCAAGGCGACGACGGGUAGCCGGCCUGAGAGGGCGACCGGCCACACUGGGACUGAGACACGGCCCAGACUCCUACGGGAGGCAGCAGUGGGAAUAUUGCACAAUGGGCGGAAGCCUGAUGCAGCGACGCCGCGUGAGGGAUGACGGCCUUCGGGUUGUAAACCUCUUUCAGCAGGGACGAAGCGCAAGUGACGGUACCUGCAGAAGAAGCGCCGGCCAACUACGUGCCAGCAGCCGCGGUAAGACGUAGGGCGCGAGCGUUGUCCGGAUUUAUUGGGCGUAAAGAGCUCGUAGGCGGCUUGUCGCGUCGACUGUGAAAACCUGCGGCUCAACCGUGUGGUCUGCAGUCGAUACGGGCAGGCUAGAGUUCGGUAGGGGAGACUGGAAUUCCUGGUGUAGCGGUGAAAUGCGCAGAUAUCAGGAGGAACACCGGUGGCGAAGGCGGGUCUCUGGGCCGAUACUGACGCUGAGGAGCGAAAGCGUGGGGAGCGAACAGGAUUAGAUACCCUGGUAGUCCACGCUGUAAACGUAGGGCGCUAGGUGUGGGGGGCCUCUCCGGUUCUCUGUGCCGCAGCUAACGCAUUAAGCGCCCCGCCUGGGGAGUACGGCCGCAAGGCUAAAACU
RNAcentral lists this ribosomal RNA (865 nucleotides) under uncultured bacterium. RNAcentral's name for it is "bacterial SSU rRNA". It matches the Rfam family "Bacterial small subunit ribosomal RNA", at positions 21 to 901 of the family's 1533-position model. The record is from RNAcentral.